Molecule: ribosomal RNA, 433 nt
Filed under: uncultured bacterium
Lineage: Bacteria
Description: partial 16S ribosomal RNA
Rfam family: Bacterial small subunit ribosomal RNA
Source: RNAcentral
AACGAACGCUGGCGGCAUGCCUAACACAUGCAAGUCGAACGAGACCUUCGGGUCUAGUGGCGCACGGGUGCGUAACGCGUGGGAACCUGCCCUUAGGUUCGGAAUAACUCCCCGAAAGGGGUGCUAAUACCGGAUAAUGUCUUCGGACCAAAGAUUUAUCGCCUUUGGAUGGGCCCGCGUUGGAUUAGCUAGUUGGUAGGGUAAAAGCCUACCAAGGCGACGAUCCAUAGCUGGUCUGAGAGGAUGAUCAGCCACACUGGGACUGAGACACGGCCCAGACUCCUACGGGAAGCAGCAGUGGGGAAUAUUGGACAAUGGGCGAAAGCCUGAUCCAGCAAUGCCGCGUGAGUGAUGAGGGCCUUAGGGUUGUAAAGCUCUUUUACCCGGGAUGAUAAUGACAGUACCGGGAGAAUAAGCUCCGGCUAACCCCGUG